AUGCGCUCGUGGCCAGCAUCGAGUCCCUCUCGGAGCAGCAGUGGGCGCUCAUCCGGCUCGUCGGGCUGCUCUUCGUGGUCCGGGCGGCCGCCUCCGCCAGGAGCCGCGCGCACCUCCUCCCCGGCCUGCUCCUCGCGGCCGUCUCGGCGGCUGUGGUCGUGUACGUCUCCACGGGCGGCGCCGUGGUGCCGGGGUUCAGGAGCUUCGUCCGGUUCUCCCUCCUGA
RNAcentral lists this ribosomal RNA (225 nucleotides) under Triticum aestivum (bread wheat). RNAcentral's name for it is "partial small subunit ribosomal RNA". Lineage: Eukaryota; Viridiplantae; Streptophyta; Magnoliopsida; Poales; Poaceae. The record is from RNAcentral.